UACGUAGGGUGCGAGCGUUGUCCGGAAUUAUUGGGCGUAAAGGGCUCGUAGGCGGUCUGUUGCGUCGGGAGUGAAAACUCAGGGCUUAACCCUGAGCCUGCUUCCGAUACGGGCAGACUAGAGGUAUGCAGGGGAGAACGGAAUUCCUGGUGUAGCGGUGAAAUGCGCAGAUAUCAGGAGGAACACCGGUGGCGAAGGCGGUUCUCUGGGACGGUACUGACGCUGAGACGCGAAAGCGUGGGGAGCAAACAGG
This 253-nucleotide ribosomal RNA is filed under the name uncultured bacterium. RNAcentral describes it as "partial 16S ribosomal RNA". It matches the Rfam family "Bacterial small subunit ribosomal RNA", at positions 524 to 776 of the family's 1533-position model. The record is from RNAcentral.